RNAcentral lists this ribosomal RNA (262 nucleotides) under uncultured bacterium. RNAcentral's name for it is "partial 16S ribosomal RNA". It matches the Rfam family "Bacterial small subunit ribosomal RNA", at positions 793 to 1055 of the family's 1533-position model. The record is from RNAcentral.
GUCCACGCCGUAAACGAUGUCGACUAGCCGUUGGGAGCCUUGAGCUCUUAGUGGCGCAGCUAACGCAUUAAGUCGACCGCCUGGGGAGUACGGCCGCAAGGUUAAAACUCAAAUGAAUUGACGGGGCCCGCACAAGCGGUGGAGCAUGUGGUUUAAUUCGAAGCAACGCGAAGAACCUUACCAGGCCUUGACAUCCUAUGAACUUUCCAGAGAUGGAUUGGUGCCUUCGGGAGCAUAGAGACAGGUGCUGCAUGGCUGUCGU